GAUGAACGCUGGCGGCGUGCCUAAUACAUGCAAGUCGAGCGAACAGACGAGGAGCUUGCUCCUCUGACGUUAGCGGCGGACGGGUGAGUAACACGUGGAUAACCUACCUAUCAGACUGGGAUAACUUCGGGAAACCGGCGCUAAUACCGGAUAAUAUAUUGAACCGCAUGGUUCAAUAGUGAAAGACGGUUUUGCUGUCACUUAUAGAUGGAUCCCCGCCGCAUUAGCUAGUUGGUAAGGUAACGGCUUACCAAGGCAACGAUGCGUAGCCGACCUGAGAGGGUGAUCGGCCACCCUGGAACUGAGACACCGUCCAGACUCCUACGGGAGGCAGCAGUAGGGAAUCUUCCGCAAUGGGCGAAAGCCUGACGGAGCGACGCCGCGUGAGUGAUGAAGGUCUUCGGAGCGUAAAGCUCUGUUAUGAGGGAAGAACAAAUGUGUACGUAACUAUGCACGUCUUGACGGUACCGAAUCAGAAAGCAACGGCUAACUACGUG
Molecule: ribosomal RNA, 497 nt
Filed under: uncultured bacterium
Lineage: Bacteria
Description: partial 16S ribosomal RNA
Rfam family: Bacterial small subunit ribosomal RNA
Source: RNAcentral